This 1338-nucleotide ribosomal RNA is filed under the name uncultured bacterium. RNAcentral describes it as "bacterial SSU rRNA". It matches the Rfam family "Bacterial small subunit ribosomal RNA", at positions 28 to 1387 of the family's 1533-position model. The record is from RNAcentral.
AACGAACGCUGGCGGCGUGGAUAAGACAUGCAAGUCGAACGAGAGAAUUGCUAGCUUGCUAAUAAUUCUCUAGUGGCGCACGGGUGAGUAACACGUGAGUAACCUGCCCCCGAGAGCGGGAUAGCCCUGGGAAACUGGGAUUAAUACCGCAUAGUAUCGAAAGAUUAAAGCAGCAAUGCGCUUGGGGAUGGGCUCGCGGCCUAUUAGUUAGUUGGUGAGGUAACGGCUCACCAAGGCGAUGACGGGUAGCCGGUCUGAGAGGAUGUCCGGCCACACUGGAACUGAGACACGGUCCAGACACCUACGGGUGGCAGCAGUCGAGAAUCAUUCACAAUGGGGGAAACCCUGAUGGUGCGACGCCGCGUGGGGGAAUGAAGGUCUUCGGAUUGUAAACCCCUGUCAUGUGGGAGCAAAUUAAAAAGAUAGUACCACAAGAGGAAGAGACGGCUAACUCUGUGCCAGCAGCCGCGGUAAUACAGAGGUCUCAAGCGUUGUUCGGAAUCACUGGGCGUAAAGCGUGCGUAGGCUGUUUCGUAAGUCGUGUGUGAAAGGCGCGGGCUCAACCCGCGGACGGCACAUGAUACUGCGAGACUAGAGUAAUGGAGGGGGAACCGGAAUUCUCGGUGUAGCAGUGAAAUGCGUAGAUAUCGAGAGGAACACUCGUGGCGAAGGCGGGUUCCUGGACAUUAACUGACGCUGAGGCACGAAGGCCAGGGGAGCGAAAGAGAUUAGAUACCCCUGUAGUCCUGGCAGUAAACGGUGCACGCUGGGUGUGCGGGGAAUCGACCCCCUGCGUGCCGGAGCUAACGCGUUAAGCGUGCCGCCUGGGGAGUACGGUCGCAAGAUUAAAACUCAAAGAAAUUGACGGGGACCCGCACAAGCGGUGGAGUAUGUGGCUUAAUUCGAUGCAACGCGAAGAACCUUACCUGGGCUUGACAUGUAAUGAACAACAUGUGAAAGCAUGCGACUCUUCGGAGGCGUUACACAGGUGCUGCAUGGCCGUCGUCAGCUCGUGUCGUGAGAUGUUUGGUUAAGUCCAGCAACGAGCGCAACCCCUGUUGCCAGUUACCAGCACGUGAAGGUGGGGACUCUGGCGAGACUGCCCAGAUCAACUGGGAGGAAGGUGGGGACGACGUCAGGUCAGUAUGGCCCUUAUGCCCAGGGCUGCACACGUACUACAAUGCCCAGUACAGAGGGGGCCGAAGCCGCGAGGCGGAGGAAAUCCUGAAAACUGGGCCCAGUUCGGACUGUAGGCUGCAACCCGCCUACACGAAGCCGGAAUCGCUAGUAAUGGCGCAUCAGCUACGGCGCCGUGAAUACGUUCCCGGGUCUUGCACU